UAUUUCUUUAUUCCAAGUGCUGAAGAAUACUCUGAAUGCUUCAGCUUCAUCUGCGUCAUCUGUUAUUUGCUGUCAUGCUGCCAUGGGGUUAGGCUUCCCUUUGUCAUCUUCUUACUUUGAAGGGGUACUUCAGUACAAGGCAGAAUUUGCUUGGAAGGCACCAGGACUGAGUUCCCUAAAGUGAUAUGGAAAAACCUUCUUAAAAUUGUGCAUGAAGAUCAUUUAAGUCUGGAAAAUCCAAGAGAGGGGCUGGAGAAAAUGUGUGCCAGCUACAAAGAAACCCUGACGCUGAGGAAGCAGUAGAAAUUUUGUUUCAUACCAAAAUGCAGCUUCAAGAAAGAGUAGGAGACAACAACAGGAGAGAUGGGUAACUGAUGUGUAGUUACACAUUAAUACCUGUUUAAAGUUUGUGUGUCCUCUGUGGGGGUUACAGCUGAUCUGGAUAGGUCAGAGAUGGAGCCAGGGACACAAGUCCUUUAAAAUAGGAAUGCAAUCCUUUCCAAGCUUAAAAAAGGACUUCUGAAGUCUUCAGCUGGGUUUUCCUGUCUUGGACUUGGUCAGGCUUGGCAUGGGAACACUCUGAAAUCAUUCAGCUGCUUUAUGUCCUUGGACAAAGGAAGAUUUUUUUGGGGGGUCAAUUUUAAAUUCAAAACCUGCUUGGCCAGGUUUGACUGAUAGCUGCUCUGUCAUAAUACAGACACAGGGAUUAGGUGCUGUUUUCCAGUAGCUUAAAAUGUUAUACAAGGUGGCUUGUCACUCACCUUGACAAACCCAAUGUGAAGGUCCCCAGGUAAAUUUCUGACUUACAGCAAUGUAAAUGUUGAUAAUCCAGCUCUCAGCAAGCUAAUUCAAAUUUCAUUCUGGUCUCCAGAUGCUAUCCAGCUUGUGCUCAGAGACCCCAGUGAUGCUGUUAGCAUACUCCUGCCUGAAUACUUUGUGAAAACAGAGGAGACAUUUACAGAACAGCUUCCUUAAUUCCUUCGGAUGCAGCUUCUGGGUUCUGAAAGGGCCCAAAAGACUGACUGUGAAGAAACUGUGACAUAAUUUCAGUGUGCCAAACUGCAACACAGGACGUAGAUAAGGUUCUUGAAAAAUGAAGCCCUGUACUUGAUGUAGAACUUGAAACGGGCUCAGACUGUGGAAUCCAGGAAAUGCUGGCUGGGAAACACCUCUGGAGGCCUUUGGUCCAAUGACUUGCUCAGUUUAAGAUUGUCACCAGCACUAGGUCAAGCCAGCUGCAUUUUUUUUUUUUUUUUUUGCAACCAAACCUGGAAAACCUCCAAGGAUGCACAUCCACCAGCCCUCUGUGAACUAUUCCAAGGCUGCUCACCGCCCCCCAGGCCCCGUGCAUUUUUUUUCCUGAUGUUGAGCUUCCCAAGCUACAACCUAUGCCCAUUACCCCUUGUUAUAGUGUCUGUCACUGCUGAGAAGAGUUUAACUCUGUGGUCUUUAUGGCUCCCUUUCCAGUUUUUGCAGGCUGCUCCUAUUUCUCCACUGAGAAAUAGCCACCUUUUCACUAGGUAAACAGUGCUACAUUUUCUGCAAUGAGAGAGAGCUCACUGUUAUCUUAAUAUUCAACCUAGUGUCCACUACAUAACCCCUAGGUCUUUUGCAGCAUUGGUAGUCUAGAAUUUGAUGGAAAAUGAAUGGGUAUGUUGGAUCUGAUAUGAAAUAUUAAAUCUCUAUUCAAGGUGACAUUUCAUAAAUUACAUGCCUGCGAAAUCAUGGAGAACUCAAAUCUUUUUCAGUAAAGGUGUUUGCUCCAACCACAAAAAGCAAUUGGGGUGCCAUCUCUGGGGCAAAAGCCAGGAAGACCCAG
Long non-coding RNA from Oxyura jamaicensis (ruddy duck), 1819 nucleotides. RefSeq lists it as uncharacterized. Lineage: Eukaryota; Metazoa; Chordata; Aves; Anseriformes; Anatidae. The transcript is spliced from 2 exons. The record is from RefSeq and is a predicted model, not a curated record.